RNAcentral lists this long non-coding RNA (208 nucleotides) under Struthio camelus australis. RNAcentral describes it as "lncRNA (ENSSCUG00000017987.1)". The record is from RNAcentral. Lineage: Eukaryota; Metazoa; Chordata; Aves; Struthioniformes; Struthionidae.
GUCCGCCCAACGGCCGCGUGUCCCUGCUAACGGUCGGUGGCAAGAGCGCUCUGCUUCUUGUGCUCCCUGCUGCGUUGGUCGCUGGCUCUGAGUUCAACACAAUGAAAUGUGAGACAGGAAGAGAAAAGAAGCUUGAAGGAAUGUGAUAGCAACAAGGUAAUUGUUACAUUACUAAUAAACCUUGUGCUACUUAAGGGGUGAGGGAGAC